This 959-nucleotide ribosomal RNA is filed under the name Cordana terrestris. RNAcentral's name for it is "partial large subunit ribosomal RNA". It matches the Rfam family "Eukaryotic large subunit ribosomal RNA", at positions 94 to 1095 of the family's 3401-position model. The record is from RNAcentral. Lineage: Eukaryota; Fungi; Ascomycota; Sordariomycetes; Coniochaetales; Cordanaceae.
UGAAGCGGCAACAGCUCAAAUUUGAAAUCUGGCUUCGGCCCGAGUUGUAAUUUGUAGAGGAUGCUUUUGGCGCGGUGCCUUCUGAGUUCCCUGGAACGGGACGCCAUAGAGGGUGAGAGCCCCGUAUAGUUGGACACCAAGCCUUUGUAAAGCUCCUUCGACGAGUCGAGUAGUUUGGGAAUGCUGCUCAAAAUGGGAGGUAAAUUUCUUCUAAAGCUAAAUACCGGCCAGAGACCGAUAGCGCACAAGUAGAGUGAUCGAAAGAUGAAAAGCACUUUGAAAAGAGGGUUAAAUAGCACGUGAAAUUGUUGAAAGGGAAGCGCUUAUGACCAGACUUGUUCCCGGUUGAUCAUCCAGUGUUCUCACUGGUGCACUCUGCCGGGGUCAGGCCAGCGUCGGUUCUCGCAGGGGGAUAAAAGCUUCGGGAACGUAGCUCCUCCGGGAGUGUUAUAGCCCGUUGCACAAUACCCUUGUGGGGACCGAGGUACGCGCUCUGCAAGGACGCUGGCGUAAUGGUCAUCAGCGACCCGUCUUGAAACACGGACCAAGGAGUCGAGGUUUUGCGCGAGUGUUUGGGUGUAAAACCCGCACGCGUAAUGAAAGUGAACGUAGGUGAGAGCUUCGGCGCAUCAUCGACCGAUCCUGAUGUAUUCGGAUGGAUUUGAGUAAGAGCGUAUAGCCUCGGACCCGAAAGAUGGUGAACUAUGCCUGUAUAGGGUGAAGCCAGAGGAAACUCUGGUGGAGGCUCGCAGCGGUUCUGACGUGCAAAUCGAUCGUCAAAUAUGGGCAUGGGGGCGAAAGACUAAUCGAACCAUCUAGUAGCUGGUUACCGCCGAAGUUUCCCUCAGGAUAGCAGUGUUGUCUUCAGUUUAUGAGGUAAAGCGAAUGAUUAGGGACUCGGGGGCGCUUUUAGCCUUCUCCCUUCUCAACUUUAAUAUGUAAGAAGCCUUGUACUUAUU